UCCUUAGUAGCUCAGCGGUAGAGCGAUCGGCUGUUAACCGAUUGGUCGUAGGUUCAAAUCCUUCCUGAGGAG
This 72-nucleotide transfer RNA is filed under the name Melanthalia intermedia. Its description in RNAcentral is "tRNA-Asn". It matches the Rfam family "tRNA". Rfam says of the family: Transfer RNA (tRNA) molecules are approximately 80 nucleotides in length. Their secondary structure includes four short double-helical elements and three loops (D, anti-codon, and T loops). Further hydrogen bonds mediate the characteristic L-shaped molecular structure. tRNAs have two regions of fundamental functional importance: the anti-codon, which is responsible for specific mRNA codon recognition, and the 3' end, to which the tRNAs corresponding amino acid is attached (by aminoacyl-tRNA synthetases). tRNAs cope with the degeneracy of the genetic code in two manners: having more than one tRNA (with a specific anti-codon) for a particular amino acid; and 'wobble' base-pairing, i.e. permitting non-standard base-pairing at the 3rd anti-codon position. The record is from RNAcentral. Lineage: Eukaryota; Rhodophyta; Florideophyceae; Gracilariales; Gracilariaceae.